AGGAGAAGGAAUUUGUCAAUGUAUAGCGCUAUAGAAGACUUUCUACAAGGUGAUACCAGUAUUAUCCCAAAAAGAUAUUCUUACUCGGACAUUAAGAAGAUGACUAACAGAUUCAAGGACAAACUGGGUGAAGGCGGCUAUGGCUGUUUAUUUGCGCAGUGGUCGUUUUGGAGCUAUUAAGAUGUUGGGCAAGUCUAAAGCUAAUGGACAAGAUUUUGUCAACGAGGUAGAUACCAUUGGGAGGAUUCACCAUGUUAACGUGGUGCAACUUGUUGGUUAUUGUGUUGAGGGAUCGAACCGUUGUCUAGUCUAUGACUUCAUGCCUAACGGGUCUCUUGAUAAAUAUGUUUUAUUCGAAAGAAGGAACUACGUAUUUAAGUUAUGAGAAAAUGUAUCAGAUUUCUCUUGGACUAGCUGGAGGGAUUGAAUAUCUACGUCAAGGUUGCGACAUGCAAAUUCUGCAUUUCAAUAUUAAGCCUCACAAUAUUCUUCUUGAUGAGAAUUUCAACCCAAAGAUAUCUGAUUUUGGCCUUGCAAAAUUAUAUCCAACAGAUAAUAGCAUUGUCUUGUUGACGGCUGCAAGAGGAACAAUGGGAUAUAUGGCUCCUGAGUUGUUCUACAAAAAUAUUGGAGGUGUCUCGUACAAGGCUGAUGUCUAUAGUUUUGGAAUGUUGCUAAGGGAAAUGGCAAGCAGAAGGAAGAAUUUGGACGCAUUGGCAGAGCAUUCGAGCCAGCUUUACUUGCCAAUAUGGGUGUAUGAGAAAUAUAAUGAAGGAAAAGAUUUGGAGAUGAGCGAUGCCACUGAAGAGGAAAAGAAGAUAGUAAAAAAGAUGGUUAUAACGGCCUUAUGGUGUAUACAAAUGAAACCAGGUGAUCGUCCUUCAAUGAACAAAGUCAUAGAGAUGCUUGAAGGAGAUGCUGAGUGCCUGCAAAUGCCUCCAAAGCCUUUUCUGUUUCCACAAGAGAUACCUAUAGGAGAUCCACAGAAUAAUCCGAAUCUGACGUGCUCUAACACGAAGCUAAAAUGUACGUUGUCGGGAAGGUGAUGCACACCUAGCACAGGCUCUUUCCAUUUGCUUCAAAUGAUAAGAUUUGAUGAUUGCAAGUAUCAUGUAUAAAACUCUGCGAAAAUGAUUAUAUGUUGUCCUAUUUUAUCUUGUUUACCAAAUAUUUAGUUAACUUGUUAUAGUUUUGCCGUCUUCUUGUCUUUAAUGUGUUGAAAGUAAUGACAACAGAUGUAUUUCCAGUUGAUACAUAUGUAUUAGUCAAAAUUUUGACUAAUGUUGUAGACA
Molecule: RNA transcript, 1292 nt
Organism: Pyrus x bretschneideri (Chinese white pear)
Lineage: Eukaryota; Viridiplantae; Streptophyta; Magnoliopsida; Rosales; Rosaceae
Gene name: rust resistance kinase Lr10
Exons: 2
Source: RefSeq, a predicted model, not a curated record